Molecule: ribosomal RNA, 811 nt
Filed under: Acutuncus giovanniniae
Lineage: Eukaryota; Metazoa; Tardigrada; Eutardigrada; Parachela; Hypsibiidae
Description: SSU rRNA
Rfam family: Eukaryotic small subunit ribosomal RNA
Source: RNAcentral
CAGUUUACAUGGAUAACUGUGGUAAUUCUAGAGCUAAUACAUGCACCCAGUCCGUUCCCUCGUGGAGCGGAUGCAGUUAUUUGCCCAAAACCAAUCCGGCCUUCGGGUCGGUCAAUUGGUGACUCUGAAUAACCGAAGCGGAGCGCAUGGUCUCGUACCGGCGCCAGAUCUUUCAAGUGUCUGACUUAUCAGCUUGUUGUUAGGUUAUGUUCCUAACAAGGCAUCAACGGGUAACGGAGGGUCAGGGCCCGACACCGGAGAGGGAGCCUGAGAAACGGCUACCACAUCCAAGGAAGGCAGCAGGCGCGCAAAUUACCCACUCCCGGCACGGGGAGGUAGUGACGAAAAAUAACGAUGCGAGAGCUUUAUGCUCCUCGUAAUCGGAAUGGGUACACUUUAAAUCCUUUAACGAGGAUCUAUUGGAGGGCAAGUCUGGUGCCAGCAGCCGCGGUAAUUCCAGCUCCAAUAGCGUAUAUUAAAGUUGCUGCGGUUAAAAAGCUCGUAGUUGGAUCUGGGUAGUCGAUGGACGGUGCGCUUUACGGCGUCUACUGUUCGUUCGGCACCACAUGCCGGCCAUGUCUUGCAUGCUCUUCACUGAGUGUGCUUGGCGACCGGAACGUUUACUUUGAAAAAAUUAGAGUGCUCAAAGCAGGCGUUAAGCCUUGCAUAAUGGUGCAUGGAAUAAUAGAAUAGGACCUCGGUUCUAUUUUGUUGGUUUUCGGAACUCGAGGUAAUGAUUAAUAGGAACAGACGGGGGCAUUCGUAUUGCGGCGUUAGAGGUGAAAUUCUUGGAUCGUCGCAAGACGCACUA